This 257-nucleotide ribosomal RNA is filed under the name Shigella boydii. Its description in RNAcentral is "partial 16S ribosomal RNA". It matches the Rfam family "Bacterial small subunit ribosomal RNA", at positions 861 to 1117 of the family's 1533-position model. The record is from RNAcentral. Lineage: Bacteria; Pseudomonadati; Pseudomonadota; Gammaproteobacteria; Enterobacterales; Enterobacteriaceae.
UAAGUCGACCGCCUGGGGAGUACGGCCGCAAGGUUAAAACUCAAAUGAAUUGACGGGGGCCCGCACAAGCGGUGGAGCAUGUGGUUUAAUUCGAUGCAACGCGAAGAACCUUACCUGGUCUUGACAUCCACGGAAGUUUUCAGAGAUGAGAAUGUGCCUUCGGGAACCGUGAGACAGGUGCUGCAUGGCUGUCGUCAGCUCGUGUUGUGAAAUGUUGGGUUAAGUCCCGCAACGAGCGCAACCCUUAUCCUUUGUUG